CCGGCCAGUUGGACUUGAGCGGUCGCCAUGGUGGUAUCGGGGACUCGGCCGGCAUCGUUAGCACAGAAGAUCCUCAGUGAUAGUUAACAAAAUGGAAAAAAAAAAUUAGCUGUGUUUUUAAGAUUCCAGUGGUGGCCAUCAACUGCUCAGGAAAGCAGCCCAGAAUCACUUCACAACAGGUUUCCAAAGGAUCAUCAUUCAUCAGCACAGAAGGGUGGGAAGGAGAAGGCUGUUCAAAUUCUGAAAGGCCAGAGCUGCAAAGGAGGUCAAAGAUGCAGUGCAGUUGGCCCACUCAGUAGAGUUUCACUAGUGGUUCUGAUUAGAGUUGCAAAGUUUUCCCAAUGGGCUGCUACCGGCACCGCCCCGCCCCACAAACAUUUUCUGGGAUACCGGCAUGCUACCACGCCUCAAGCAAAAAAAACCGCCAAAUUACCGGCAUACUAAAAAAACCUGCAUUAUUGAUUCUGGCUUACCCCUACAUGAGAUGCCACAUUUUGGCAAUUUCAGUAACCGCCCCACCCAACAGCCACCCAUUGUCCAACUUAUUACAAUUCAAUAGCCUCUUAGUGUCCAAAGUUUGAAUCAUAUGCUGAUAAUUUUUUGUGCAAAAUCAAAAAUACCGGCAUGCUACCGGCAAGACAUGCCAGAUACCACGAAAAAACCUGCGGUAGUGAAAAAUUACCGGCAUGCCGGUAGUGCGGUAGGGAAAUUUUGCAACUCUAGUUCUGAUGUGGACUGAAGAUUACACGCUGGAUUGUAUUGGCCGGUCUGGAGCAGCUGUAGUUCAUCAUUCUUGCUGAUUGUGGACGAGUAAGAGCCCGCGUUGGCCCGGAUCGGCGAUCGCUGGCCAAAGCCCACAACCAGUUUGGUGAUAGGCGUUGGCUGUGAUAUCUAGUGUCGCCUAUGUGUGAAAAGGACAAGUUGAUAACAAAACCUGUUGCGCCAUGUUAUUAACCCGCGCCCGGGUGGCCCUCAGCCAACUUGGUGGGGGGAGGGGGGGGGAGGUGUAUUCGGCCACACCAGGUUAUCUGGGAAUGUAGCAAAGCUGGAAAGACGCAGUAAAAUCAAUCUAUAGAUCGCUAUUUUUCUUCAGAAUCAUACAGGUCAUUUUUGAUCAGGUCAUCGCUGAGGUCACUGGAGUAAAUGUAAAAUGAAAAUGAUGACGUAAUUGUAAAAGUAAAAGUAAAAUGAUGACGAAUUUUGGCCCCCGAUUUUGACAACUUCACAAAUUGGUUCAUAAUUCGGGAACCAAAGAAGCUACAGCGCCGCGGAAAAGCGAAUUCGAUAGCUCUUUCGAAAAUCUUUCAGGUUCUCAGAUUUGAGCUAAGGUCAACUAGGGUUAAGCCUCCAAAGGGCAAAAACUGAACAAUCGGCUUGCUUCGGAAGUCGUCUUUUCUUUAUUUUUAUUUUUUUUUAACUGAUACCAACCUUUUAUUACGUUGAUUUUACCGGCACUGCGUUUCUCUCGUCUUCUUGGCCUAACAAGGUCAGCUUAAUAAAUUUGACCUCAGGUCAAUGUCGCAGAAAAUGCCAUUUUGCAUGUCAUUGAUUCGUUACAUUGAAAUUGAGAUUAACAUCAGUAGCGGCGGAACAUCUUCAAUUAAGGGGGCAUUGCCGACUUUUGGUCUCAUUCUUUCCAUGCAACACCCAUAGGGCUAAUGUUAAAAUGCCAAAAUCAAAGGGGGCACGGUGCCCCGGUGCCCUCGGCCUGUUCCGCCGCCUAUGAUUAUGAUGCUUUUAGCGCUCUGGCCACGUUCCAUCUAAAAUUGAUGUACAAAAAUAAACUGUUGGGAGGCGUUACAUGACCUGAGAUGACCUCAGGAGCAUACGAUAGAUCCCGAUGUUUGAGUGCUUUUGUUUCAAAAGCAGAACAUUUCGAGUUCCUCAUACUGACUGAAACUGGAGACGUCGCAAAGUUGACCUGACCCUUGUCACCACCGAUAUCAAAAUUAAAGAUAUUCAAGAUGUUGGUACUGAUUCUCUCAUGCAAUAGCUCGAGUUUCAAACUUCUACUUCAUGGUGACCUGACCUGACCUUAGGUGACAUGGGGUUACUUUUUUCACAAUUGAUGCGAAUCGAUGCAUUAUACAUAAGCUAUACUAAGUUUCGUGUCGUUUUAUCUAUGCAAGCACAAAAUUGUCAGGUGUGGCCAAAAACGCCCCCACGGCCCACCCACCACCCACCUGGGGAACGUUAAAGCAGUGAUGUAUUUUUUCGGUAUAUUCCACGAUGCAUCGAUCGGUGUACUUGAUAAUGCAUUAUUUAUUGCUGCGUGUGUACGCUUUUCCUCUGUUCAGUGUGAUCUGUGAUAGGAAAACUACGGAUAUAUCUCCACGCGCAUGACUGAAAGAGCUGGCGUGAUCUAUAAUAUUGGGUGUCUGUUUUUGUUUGGCAUUUUAUAAAUAAUGAGUCAGC
This 2415-nucleotide long non-coding RNA is filed under the name Amphibalanus amphitrite. RNAcentral's name for it is "uncharacterized LOC122391936, transcript variant X2". Lineage: Eukaryota; Metazoa; Arthropoda; Thecostraca; Balanomorpha; Balanidae. The record is from RNAcentral.